Molecule: non-coding RNA, 31 nt
Filed under: Mus musculus (house mouse)
Lineage: Eukaryota; Metazoa; Chordata; Mammalia; Rodentia; Muridae
Source: RNAcentral
UAACUGUCAGUUUACUAAGAGGAAACAGGUU